This is a non-coding RNA of Paramisgurnus dabryanus, 2146 nucleotides long. The record is from RefSeq and is a predicted model, not a curated record. Lineage: Eukaryota; Metazoa; Chordata; Actinopteri; Cypriniformes; Cobitidae.
UAAAUAAUUUUCGUUGUUUUCACAGUUUUUUACUGUUUUUCUCGACAGUUUCUUACUGUAUAAGUUGUUUACAGUUUGUUACUAUAGAUUUGUUGUUUCCACAGUAUUUUAAUGUAUUUUCAACAGUUUUUUACUGCAUAAGCUUUGUACAGUAGGCUACUGUAGUUUUCCAAUGCAUUAUGGGAAAUAUUACUCUGAAUACAGUAUUACCAACCAACUGCAAAACACAAUGACAAACGUCUAUUUAUAUCUUAAAUGCUUAAUUUUUUUGUGAGAUAUUUGGUUUAAUGUCUGUUUUCACAUCAGAUGCUCGGUGUGUUCCUUUAACAUAAAUCAGGUGCCUUUUCUGAGGCUUUAAUGAAAUCACCAGCCAAUUCAAUAGACAUACCAUCAGUUCUUAAUAUUGUUGCCUCUGUGUCACAAAAUGUAUUUUUAAGAUUAGUUUAGGCGAUAAUAUAUAUAUGUAUAAUCUUCAAAUAGCAGUCGAUUAGUUAAAAAAGCGCUAAUUUUAGAAUUUGAUUAAACAAAUGCGGAGGGUUCAGGCGCGAGUCGGUCACGUGAUGUGCUCCUCAGUUCUGUCAGUAGGGGGAGUGGGAGAACGCGUGUGUGUCGUCGUAUCUGUUCUGCUCAUCUAGCGCGUAUUUCUUUAUUAAUAUCUGCUGGGUGAAUAUUAAUACGUAUAUGCUAACAUUAAUUUUGUGACCACAAAAUGACAGCGAGCUAUUAUACGAGAUAUUGUGUCGUCGUGUUUGUCUUCACUCACUUCAUCAUUAUCUGGUAAGUGCUAUAUGCAAUAUCUGGUAUGAGACUUUAUUGGCACUAAAGGGUUCUUUCGGCUAAAUUUUACUUAAUUUCUGUCAUAACAGCAAACAACUUCUGCAACUACACAAUGAUUGUCUGCCUGUGUGCAAAAUAAAGCACGUUCACUGUGUAAAACCCCGCGCAGGGCAUUUUCAAAUUAACGGUCAGGGCGAGUCUGAGCUUAUCGUGUUGUGUUGACAGAGACUUUGCUGAGUGUAUGUAAAUCUGGGCUACAGUCCACGACAAAUUUUCUACGGUAGUUUUAGGCCUGCAUGCUGGUCCUUUCGUCUAUCGCGGGGAUAUCAUCACUUCAGCGGACAUCGCACUGAAGAGAUCCUGUGCUUGCGUGGCGGUGUGUUUGUGUGCUCACUUGGAUUGAGACCAGCAGUGCUUUUUUAAACACUGGAUUCUUUAUGACAUCAAGAUGUGGUUUGGGAAGGACCUUCAUCUAAAUCUGAAGACAGGACAUACUGGCUCAAAAAGCGUUUGGUCAGGAACUGCCUAUACACUUGAAAAAUGCACAGAACUGGAACAGCACAUCAGUUGGGAGCACAUUAACAAGGAUGAAAUGUAUCCAAUAAUUAUUUUAAUAUUUAUAGGUGUUUCUGAUAUGGAGAAAAACCCAGCACUGCUCAUUUUAUUUCUUCAUCUUGAGAAUACAGCAAGUUUACCUUUUGUCUGGAAAAUGAUUCAGCAAAGCUAACACCAACAACAAUUUUUCAUGGCACUUUAAACCACCUUGAUGUGAGGAGCCAGCAUCAGAAUGGAUGGUGUCAAUAUCCUGAAAGUGGAGGUAACAGAGGUGGAUCUCGAGACUUGGCCAUGUUCUAGAUUAUAACUGGAUUAUCACAAGUGCUGUCGCCCCUGCUGUAUAUGACGCCCCCACCACCUACACCAGGUGUAGGAAAUGUCGGUCCUGGAGUGCCGUUGUCCUGCAGAGUUUUGCUCCAGCUCUAAACAAACACACCUGAACAACUAGAUCUGAAGAGUCACCAGAAAACUACAGGUAGGCGAGGUUUUAUCAGGGUUGGAAAUGAAAUCUGCAGGAUUUCGGCACUCCAGGACCGACGUUGCCUACUACUGACCUACACCUUCAUCCUGCCACCACCACCCAUACUACCUACAAAAAACUGUAUUGUAAUUAUGCUUUUCACUGUAUUGUAUGAUGUGGUUUUCUCAUUUAGGGUAACUACACUAUGACAACAAUUGGAUACAUUGAUUGCUGACUGAUUUUGUUAUUUUUUCUUUACUUUUUGUUUAAAAUCUAAUCAUUUUUUUGUUAUUUUUGUUAAUAUUGUUACAAAUAUACAGUUAAAAACUGCACAAUAAAUUGUCUGCUUUUAAA